UAAGGUCGCUUUCCAUUGAAGAAAAGGUGU
This 30-nucleotide non-coding RNA is filed under the name Mus musculus (house mouse). Lineage: Eukaryota; Metazoa; Chordata; Mammalia; Rodentia; Muridae. The record is from RNAcentral.